GGUUAAGCGACUAAGCGUACACGGUGGAUGCCCUGGCAGUCAGAGGCGAUGAAGGACGUGCUAAUCUGCGAUAAGCGUCGGUAAGGUGAUAUGAACCGUUAUAACCGGCGAUUUCCGAAUGGGGAAACCCAGUGUGUUUCGACACACUAUCAUUAACUGAAUCCAUAGGUUAAUGAGGCGAACCGGGGGAACUGAAACAUCUAAGUACCCCGAGGAAAAGAAAUCAACCGAGAUUCCCCCAGUAGCGGCGAGCGAACGGGGAGGAGCCCAGAGCCUGAAUCAGUGUGUGUGUUAGUGGAAGCGUCUGGAAAGGCGCGCGAUACAGGGUGACAGCCCCGUACACAAAAAUGCACAUGCUGUGAGCUCGAUGAGUAGGGCGGGACACGUGGUAUCCUGUCUGAAUAUGGGGGGACCAUCCUCCAAGGCUAAAUACUCCUGACUGACCGAUAGUGAACCAGUACCGUGAGGGAAAGGCGAAAAGAACCCCGGCGAGGGGAGUGAAAAAGAACCUGAAACCGUGUACGUACAAGCAGUGGGAGCCUCUUUAUGGGGUGACUGCGUACCUUUUGUAUAAUGGGUCAGCGACUUAUAUUCUGUAGCAAGGUUAACCGAAUAGGGGAGCCGAAGGGAAACCGAGUCUUAACUGGGCGUUAAGUUGCAGGGUAUAGACCCGAAACCCGGUGAUCUAGCCAUGGGCAGGUUGAAGGUUGGGUAACACUAACUGGAGGACCGAACCGACUAAUGUUGAAAAAUUAGCGGAUGACUUGUGGCUGGGGGUGAAAGGCCAAUCAAACCGGGAGAUAGCUGGUUCUCCCCGAAAGCUAUUUAGGUAGCGCCUCGUGAAUUCAUCUCCGGGGGUAGAGCACUGUUUCGGCAAGGGGGUCAUCCCGACUUACCAACCCGAUGCAAACUGCGAAUACCGGAGAAUGUUAUCACGGGAGACACACGGCGGGUGCUAACGUCCGUCGUGAAGAGGGAAACAACCCAGACCGCCAGCUAAGGUCCCAAAGUCAUGGUUAAGUGGGAAACGAUGUGGGAAGGCCCAGACAGCCAGGAUGUUGGCUUAGAAGCAGCCAUCAUUUAAAGAAAGCGUAAUAGCUCACUGGUCGAGUCGGCCUGCGCGGAAGAUGUAACGGGGCUAAACCAUGCACCGAAGCUGCGGCAGCGACGCUUAUGCGUUGUUGGGUAGGGGAGCGUUCUGUAAGCCUGCGAAGGUGUGCUGUGAGGCAUGCUGGAGGUAUCAGAAGUGCGAAUGCUGACAUAAGUAACGAUAAAGCGGGUGAAAAGCCCGCUCGCCGGAAGACCAAGGGUUCCUGUCCAACGUUAAUCGGGGCAGGGUGAGUCGACCCCUAAGGCGAGGCCGAAAGGCGUAGUCGAUGGGAAACAGGUUAAUAUUCCUGUACUUGGUGUUACUGCGAAGGGGGGACGGAGAAGGCUAUGUUGGCCGGGCGACGGUUGUCCCGGUUUAAGCGUGUAGGCUGGUUUUCCAGGCAAAUCCGGAAAAUCAAGGCUGAGGCGUGAUGACGAGGCACUACGGUGCUGAAGCAACAAAUGCCCUGCUUCCAGGAAAAGCCUCUAAGCAUCAGGUAACAUCAAAUCGUACCCCAAACCGACACAGGUGGUCAGGUAGAGAAUACCAAGGCGCUUGAGAGAACUCGGGUGAAGGAACUAGGCAAAAUGGUGCCGUAACUUCGGGAGAAGGCACGCUGAUAUGUAGGUGAAGCGACUUGCUCGUGGAGCUGAAAUCAGUCGAAGAUACCAGCUGGCUGCAACUGUUUAUUAAAAACACAGCACUGUGCAAACACGAAAGUGGACGUAUACGGUGUGACGCCUGCCCGGUGCCGGAAGGUUAAUUGAUGGGGUUAGCGGUAACGCGAAGCUCUUGAUCGAAGCCCCGGUAAACGGCGGCCGUAACUAUAACGGUCCUAAGGUAGCGAAAUUCCUUGUCGGGUAAGUUCCGACCUGCACGAAUGGCGUAAUGAUGGCCAGGCUGUCUCCACCCGAGACUCAGUGAAAUUGAACUCGCUGUGAAGAUGCAGUGUACCCGCGGCAAGACGGAAAGACCCCGUGAACCUUUACUAUAGCUUGACACUGAACAUUGAGCCUUGAUGUGUAGGAUAGGUGGGAGGCUUUGAAGUGUGGACGCCAGUCUGCAUGGAGCCGACCUUGAAAUACCACCCUUUAAUGUUUGAUGUUCUAACGUUGGCCCCUGAUCGGGGUUGCGGACAGUGUCUGGUGGGUAGUUUGACUGGGGCGGUCUCCUCCUAAAGAGUAACGGAGGAGCACGAAGGUUGGCUAAUCCUGGUCGGACAUCAGGAGGUUAGUGCAAUGGCAUAAGCCAGCUUGACUGCGAGCGUGACGGCGCGAGCAGGUGCGAAAGCAGGUCAUAGUGAUCCGGUGGUUCUGAAUGGAAGGGCCAUCGCUCAACGGAUAAAAGGUACUCCGGGGAUAACAGGCUGAUACCGCCCAAGAGUUCAUAUCGACGGCGGUGUUUGGCACCUCGAUGUCGGCUCAUCACAUCCUGGGGCUGAAGUAGGUCCCAAGGGUAUGGCUGUUCGCCAUUUAAAGUGGUACGCGAGCUGGGUUUAGAACGUCGUGAGACAGUUCGGUCCCUAUCUGCCGUGGGCGCUGGAGAACUGAGGGGGGCUGCUCCUAGUACGAGAGGACCGGAGUGGACGCAUCACUGGUGUUCGGGUUGUCAUGCCAAUGGCACUGCCCGGUAGCUAAAUGCGGAAGAGAUAAGUGCUGAAAGCAUCUAAGCACGAAACUUGCCCCGAGAUGAGUUCUCCCUGAGACUUUAAGUCUCCUGAAGGAACGUUGAAGACGACGACGUUGAUAGGCCGGGUGUGUAAGCGCAGCGAUGCGUUGAGCUAACCGGUACUAAUGAACCGUGAGGCUUAACCUU
RNAcentral lists this ribosomal RNA (2905 nucleotides) under Escherichia coli. Its description in RNAcentral is "23S ribosomal RNA". It matches the Rfam family "Bacterial large subunit ribosomal RNA". Lineage: Bacteria; Pseudomonadati; Pseudomonadota; Gammaproteobacteria; Enterobacterales; Enterobacteriaceae. The record is from RNAcentral.